CUGUAGUGAUUUUUGAUGUUGCAUAUUCCCUCGAGCUUCCACCACAUAUUUAAGUCCAUUUAAUCUUUCAUAUUUUGAAAUUGAACGAAUUUCAUACUUAACCAAAGUGCUUUCCGGAUUGAUACCAACUACCACCACCACUAGUUGUAAUUGAUGACCAACAAGAAAAUGAAGUGGGUAGUGUUUUAGAGCAUCGCUAUCCUUAUCGUGGUAAUGGACAUCCACAACUCAAGUACAAAGUUCUUUGGAAAGGUUAUCCCAUUCACAAUGCAACGUAAGAACCUACACAAAACCACACCCAUUACUAAGAGACAAUUUGAAGAUACCACCAGAAGUGAAAUGAGGACGUUUUGUAUUAGUGGAGGGAGAUUAACUAUAACAUGGUAUAGAUAAGAUAAUUAUAUAGAUAAUUAGAACCAUGGAAGUUUCUAGAAUUGGGAUUAGAUUAGUGGACCAGGUAGGAUCCAUCAUACAACCUCCCAUGGUAGAUAGUCUAGUCCUAUUUUACUUAGUUAAAGGAAGUUCAAAAAUAACAAAAGAUCAAUGUAUAUACAUAUCGUAAAGAACAAUUAUAAUUCAAUGUAGGUGACAAGAUAUGGCUAUUUUGUCAUAAUAUCAAGACUACUUGUUCUUAUGAUAAGUUGGACUAUUAUAGACUUGAAUCUUUUUUUAUUUGUAAACAAGUCAAUCUUGUAGCUUAUCAAUUAUAUCAAAUUCUAUAAAGAUCCAUCCCAUAUUCCAUAUGUCUCUUCUUGAGCCAUAUAGAACAAUGAAUAUCUGAAGAAGAAGACAAAUGCCACCUCUUCUUAUAAAAUUAGAUAAUAAUUAAGAGUUUGAGGUAAAAGAAAGUCUUAGAUUCAAGGCAAUGCCAAAAUAGAUUAGAAUAUCUUAUUCAUUGAUAUGGAUAUAAUAUUAGUAAAUGUACAUGAGAGCUAACAAAGAAUUUUGUAAAUGCAACAAAAAAAGUUAUGGCCUUCUAUCAACAACAUCCAUCAAAGUCAAGAUGAAGAAUUGUAAGAUCUAUAAAAGAUGAUGACUGUUCUUUGUAGAACUUGUCUAUGAAAAAAGAUGGAGAUAAUGUCACAGACAUUUAUACUUAUUCUAGUAUUUAUAUAUAUGAUUAAGUAAAAGUAGAUAAAAAAAUAGAUUUAUUUCAUAAUAUUUUUUAGAAUAGCUUUUUAGAAGCUUUAUAGAUAUUGCUUUGAAUUUACAUGUGUUUGUAGUUAAUUGAUAGGUUAAAAAAUUAUUCAACAAGUUAAUCAUGUAUUGAUAGCUUGUGGAAGAAGCUAAACAUGUUGUGCAUAUAUAAAAAACUUGCCUUAUAAGUUAAGAUAUGUGUUUUACAAAGUCAACACGUUUUAGAGGUCCUAUAGGACAUUACUACAUAACUCUUGGUUAAGAAUAUAUAUGAAGGCAAGAGUGAAGCUUCCUUCACUCUUAUCAACACCUUUCUAAUCCUUAAUCUUAUUUCAAGACAUUCUAGUCUUCUUGUCUUUGGUAAUAGCUAUUCUAAUUUAAUACUAUAUCAUCUUUGAAUGACUUUUUAGUUCUUUUAAGUGACAUAAGAGUGUACUAAAGAUUUCUUUCUUCAAGAUCUAUGUCAUUGAUACCACCCUACUUAGUCAAAUAAAAAUUAAUUGCAUUUAAUUGGAUCAAAAUGAUGAGAAGAAGUAAAAAACAAUCAUCAAGCAUUUCAUAUUUUGUUCAAAAAAGCUAGACAUUACUCACUUUUUGUUCAUACAAUAGUCAAAUAUUGUGACCAUUUCUACAACAACAAUGAAAUUAAAACUCACACCUUAUAUGAUUAUAGCCAAACACUGGAAACGAUACCCCC
Molecule: long non-coding RNA, 1834 nt
Filed under: Physcomitrium patens
Lineage: Eukaryota; Viridiplantae; Streptophyta; Bryopsida; Funariales; Funariaceae
Description: long non-coding RNA (PPAT_LNC002864)
Source: RNAcentral